CGCAGUGCGGCAGCUAAUACAUGCAGUCGAGCGGACAGAUGGGAGCUUGCUCCCUGAUGUUAGCGGCGGACGGGUGAGUAACACGUGGGUAACCUGCCUGUAAGACUGGGAUAACUCCGGGAAACCGGGGCUAAUACCGGAUGGUUGUUUGAACCGCAUGGUUCAAACAUAAAAGGUGGCUUCGGCUACCACUUACAGAUGGACCCGCGGCGCAUUAGCUAGUUGGUGAGGUAACGGCUCACCAAGGCAACGAUGCGUAGCCGACCUGAGAGGGUGAUCGGCCACACUGGGACUGAGACACGGCCCAGACUCCUACGGGAGGCAGCAGUAGGGAAUCUUCCGCAAUGGACGAAAGUCUGACGGAGCAACGCCGCGUGAGUGAUGAAGGUUUUCGGAUCGUAAAGCUCUGUUGUUAGGGAAGAACAAGUACCGUUCGAAUAGGGCGGUACCUUGACGGUACCUAACCAGAAAGCCACGGCUAACUACGUGCCAGCAGCCGGGCGGUAAUUAUUAUAUUUUAUAUUAACCGCCGGGUGCUGGGCCAGAUGCAUCAUGCGGUGAUUAAAAGAUGAUCAUGUUCAGCGCGUUAAAACACGCUCAGUCUUUAAUUACCCCCCGGUUGCUGCUGAGAGAACGGCCCUGGCUCAGGACGAUCGCGGGUGGCGUGCCUUAUACAUGCAAGUCGAGCGGAAAGAUGGGAGCUUGCUCCUUGAUGUUAGCGGCGGUUUGGUGAGUAACACGUGGGUAACCUGCCUGUAAGACUGGGAUAACUCCGGGAAACCGGGGCUAAUACCGGAUGGUUGUAUGAACGGCUUGGUUCAAACAUAAAAGGUGGCUUCGGCUAACACUUACAGAAGGACCCGGGGCGCCUUAGCUAGUUCCUGAGGUAAUGGCUCACCAAGGCAACGAUGCGUAGCCGACCUGAGAGGGUGAUCGGCCACACUGGGACUGAGACACGGCCCAGACUCUACGGGAGGCAGCAGUAGGGAAUCUUCCGCAAUGGACGAAAGUCUGAUGGAGCAACGCCGCGUGAGUGAUGAAGGUUUUCGGAUCGUAAAGAUCCGUCGUUAGGGAAGAACAAGUACCGUUCGAAUAGGGCGGACCUGACGGACCAACCUAAAGGCAACAAGCU
This 1132-nucleotide ribosomal RNA is filed under the name Bacillus velezensis. RNAcentral describes it as "bacterial SSU rRNA". The stretch from base 7 to 520 matches the Rfam family "Bacterial small subunit ribosomal RNA", at positions 39 to 536 of the family's 1533-position model. Lineage: Bacteria; Bacillati; Bacillota; Bacilli; Caryophanales; Bacillaceae. The record is from RNAcentral.